RNAcentral lists this ribosomal RNA (505 nucleotides) under uncultured bacterium. RNAcentral describes it as "partial 16S ribosomal RNA". It matches the Rfam family "Bacterial small subunit ribosomal RNA", at positions 28 to 507 of the family's 1533-position model. The record is from RNAcentral.
GACGAACGCUGGCGGCGUGCCUAAUACAUGCAAGUAGAACGCACAGUUUAUACCGUAGCUUGCUACACCAUAGACUGUGAGUUGCGAACGGGUGAGUAACGCGUAGGUAACCUGCCUGGUAGCGGGGGAUAACUAUUGGAAACGAUAGCUAAUACCGCAUAAUAUUGAUUAUUGCAUGAUAAUUGAUUGAAAGAUGCUAUUGCAUCACUACCAGAUGGACCUGCGUUGUAUUAGCUAGUAGGUGAGGUAACGGCUCACCUAGGCGACGAUACAUAGCCGACCUGGGAGGGUGAUCGGCCACACUGGGACUGAGACACGGCCCAGACUCCUACGGGAGGCAGCAGUAGGGAAUCUUCGGCAAUGGACGAAAGUCUGACCGAGCAACGCCGCGUGAGUGAAGAAGGUUUUCGGAUCGGAAAGCUCUGUUGUAAGAGAAGAACGGGUGUGAGAGUGGAAAGUUCACACUGUGACGGUAUCUUACCAGAAAGGGACGGCUAACUACGUG